This 253-nucleotide ribosomal RNA is filed under the name uncultured bacterium. Its description in RNAcentral is "partial 16S ribosomal RNA". It matches the Rfam family "Bacterial small subunit ribosomal RNA", at positions 524 to 776 of the family's 1533-position model. The record is from RNAcentral.
GACAGAGGUGCCGAGCGUUAGGCGGAAUCACUGGGCUUAAAGCGUGUGUAGGCGGGCCGUUAAGUACCUUGUGAAAUCCCCCGGCUCAACCGGGGAACGGCUGGGUAUACUGGCGGCCUUGAGGCACCCAGGGGCGAGCGGAACAGGCGGUGGAGCGGUGAAAUGCGUAGAUAUCGCCUGGAACGCCGACGGUGAAAACAGCUCGCUGGGGGUGUGCUGACGCUGAGGCACGAAAGCCAGGGGAGCGAACGGG